Molecule: ribosomal RNA, 492 nt
Filed under: uncultured bacterium
Lineage: Bacteria
Description: partial 16S ribosomal RNA
Rfam family: Bacterial small subunit ribosomal RNA
Source: RNAcentral
ACGAACGCUGGCGGCGUGCCUAACACAUGCAAGUUGAGCGACGAACCAGGGCUUGCCCUGGGGCAAAGCAGCGAACGGGUGAGUAACACGUGGGUAACCUACCCCGAUAACCGGGACAACCCGAGGAAACUCGGGCUAAUACCGGAUGUGCUCACUGGACUUCGGUUCAGUGCGUAAAGGAAGCUUCGGCCUCCGUAUCGGGAGGGGCCCGCGGCCCAUUAGUUUGUUGGUGAGGUAACGGCUCACCAAGACCGCGAUGGGUAGCUGGUCUGAGAGGACGAGCGGCCACACUGGGACUGAGACACGGCCCAGACUCCUACGGGAGGCAGCAGUGGGGAAUCUUGCGCAAUGCGCGAAAGCGUGACGCAGCAACGCCGCGUGGGGGAAGAAGGCCUUCGGGUUGUAAACCCCUUUCAGGAGGGACGAAGGUUCGGCGGUGAAUAGCCGUCCGGACUGACGGUACCUCCACAAGAAGCCCCGGCUAACUACGUG